This 492-nucleotide ribosomal RNA is filed under the name uncultured bacterium. RNAcentral describes it as "partial 16S ribosomal RNA". It matches the Rfam family "Bacterial small subunit ribosomal RNA", at positions 29 to 507 of the family's 1533-position model. The record is from RNAcentral.
AGUGAACGCUGGCGGUAGGCCUAACACAUGCAAGUCGAACGGCAGCACAGUAAGAGCUUGCUCUUACGGGUGGCGAGUGGCGGACGGGUGAGGAAUACAUCGGAAUCUACUUUUUCGUGGGGGAUAACGUAGGGAAACUUACGCUAAUACCGCAUACGACCUACGGGUGAAAGCAGGGGAUCUUCGGACCUUGCGCGAUUGAAUGAGCCGAUGUCGGAUUAGCUAGUUGGCGGGGUAAAGGCCCACCAAGGCGACGAUCCGUAGCUGGUCUGAGAUGAUGAUCAGCCACACUGGAACUGAGACACGGUCCAGACUCCGACGGGAGGCAGCAGUGGGGAAUAUUGGACAAUGGGCGCAAGCCUGAUCCAGCCAUACCGCGUGGGUGAAGAAGGCCUUCGGGUUGUAAAGCCCUUUUGUUGGGAAAGAAAAGCAGCAGGUUAAUACCCCGCUGUUCUGACGGUACCAAAAGAAUAAGCACCGGCUAACUUCGUG